Delphinapterus leucas (beluga whale) is the source of this 73-nucleotide non-coding RNA. NCBI's taxonomy places the organism in Eukaryota, Metazoa, Chordata, Mammalia, Artiodactyla, Monodontidae. The record is from the annotation of a RefSeq genome assembly.
UCCCUGGUGGUCCAGUGGUUAGGACUCUGCACUCUCACUACUGGGGGCCCAGGUUCGAUCCUUGGCCGGGGAA